ACAACGUGGACAUCCUGUGAGGUUGCUCUCAUAUGGCUCUGUUCGUGUGGCGUAUGGGAGCGUAGCACUUCGCAGUGCCAUGACGUACAGUCCCGUUCCACGACGUUGGAGAGCAAGCUUGUCCCCGGCCUUUUGGCUGGUGAGGACAGCGUCCUGUAUAUUCCUACAUCUUCCCAGAGUCCUUGGGCAGUUACUGGGGAGAAAAACCAUGCAGUGCACAUUU
Small nucleolar RNA from Lepisosteus oculatus (spotted gar), 223 nucleotides. Its record names the gene SNORA73. It matches the Rfam family "Small nucleolar RNA SNORA73 family". From Rfam's summary of the family: U17 (SNORA73A and SNORA73B) also known as E1 belongs to the H/ACA class of small nucleolar RNAs (snoRNAs). Vertebrate U17 is intron-encoded and ranges in length from 200-230 nucleotides, longer than most snoRNAs. NCBI's taxonomy places the organism in Eukaryota, Metazoa, Chordata, Actinopteri, Semionotiformes, Lepisosteidae. The record is from Ensembl.